UACGGAGGGUGCAAGCGUUAAUCGGAAUUACUGGGCGUAAAGCGCGCGUAGGUGGUUUGUUAAGUUAGAUGUGAAAGCCCCGGGCUCAACCUGGGAAUAGCAUUUAAGACUGGCAGGCUAGAGUAUGGCAGAGGUAAGUGGAAUUUCAGGUGUAGCGGUGAAAUGCGUAGAGAUCUGAAGGAACACCAGUGGCGAAGGCGACUUACUGGGCCAUAACUGACGCUGAGGUGCGAAAGCGUGGGUAGCAAACAGG
Molecule: unclassified non-coding RNA, 253 nt
Filed under: uncultured Gammaproteobacteria bacterium
Lineage: Bacteria; Pseudomonadati; Pseudomonadota; Gammaproteobacteria
Description: contains 16S-23S intergenic spacer region
Rfam family: Bacterial small subunit ribosomal RNA
Source: RNAcentral